GCAGUGCACGAAAGUGUGACGGGGCUACCCCGAGUGCCUUCCGCUGAGGAGGGCUUUUAUUUGGUAUAACUAGCCAAAGGAAUAAGGAGAGGGCAAGACUGGUGUCAGCCGCCGCGGUAAUACCAGCUCUCCGAGUGGUAGGGAUGAUUAUUGGGCUUAAAGCGUCCGUAGCCGGCUUAGCAAGUCUCCUGUUAAAUUCAGCGACCUAAUCGUUGAGCCGCGGGAGAUACUACUAGGCUAGGAGGCGGGAGAGGUCGACGGUACUUCUGGGGUAGGGGUGAAAUCCUAUAAUCCCGGGAGGACCACCAGUGGCGAAGGCUGUCGACUAGAACGCGCUCGACGGUGAGGGACGAAAGCUGGGGGAGCGAACCGGAUUAGAUACCCGGGUAGUCCCAGCUGUAAACGAUGCGGGCUAGGUGUUGGGAUGGCUACGUGCCAUUUCAGUGCCGCAGGGAAGCCAUUAAGCCCGCCGCCUGGGGAGUACGGCCGCAAGGCUGAAGCUUAA
This 505-nucleotide ribosomal RNA is filed under the name uncultured archaeon. Its description in RNAcentral is "bacterial SSU rRNA". It matches the Rfam family "Archaeal small subunit ribosomal RNA", at positions 352 to 859 of the family's 1478-position model. The record is from RNAcentral.